AUAACAAAAGAUUUUAGCCACUUAUAUUCGUGUAAAAAGCGUGUGAAAUGUUGGGUUUCUCACACAGACAUCUGUCUGAAUAGGUCGAUACUUCGAAGUUCUAACACUCCUCCGAGCUGCACUGCCAAAUUUUCAUACCUCCAUCUUCAUCAAUUCAAACUCAACCCAGAUAACCAAUAAGAGAUGAUAUCAUCAAUUUCCUGGGUGCCCAAAGGUCGAUCCCCAGAUCUGCACUUCAUGUCUCGUGAGAUCUACUUUUAAGUCCCAAUUUUCACCCAGAUAUACUACUUGUCUGUCCUCAUCCUUCACUACCUUUUCUUCUUUAAUUGCUCAUCCAGAUCUGGAUUGGCAUGACAUGAUUUGGCAUAAGUCUCUUUCUUUUUUCCCAGACUGGUUUUUGAGUAACUUUGAGGACCAAGAUCCAGAAGCUUGUGUUUGAGCUCUACCUCAUGAGUCAUUUUCAGAGGAAGGUUUUGGUUGCAAAUCGGAACCGACAUCGGGUUCUGGCCAUUGCUGCCGUUGGUUCGGCUUUGUUAUAUGCCAAAGGGAACGAGAAUUUCACUGAUCGAGAGCCAUUUCUUAGAGAUCUAUAAUAGAGUAAAUUCAUCAAUAUAUUGUUGGGAUUUUUUGUUUUUGGUAUCAAUCUAAUGAAAAGGAGUUUUUGUUUGUUAUGGGUACAAUGUCGAUUGGGAAUUUAUUUUGUGCGUUUCGAUUCAGUUUAUGGGAAUUCAAAUCUUCAGAAAAAAAAAUUAGCUGCAAAUGUAUUUGAUAAUUAAUUUGGGGAU
Molecule: RNA transcript, 785 nt
Organism: Fragaria vesca subsp. vesca
Lineage: Eukaryota; Viridiplantae; Streptophyta; Magnoliopsida; Rosales; Rosaceae
Exons: 2
Source: RefSeq, a predicted model, not a curated record